RNAcentral lists this ribosomal RNA (376 nucleotides) under uncultured eukaryote. RNAcentral's name for it is "partial 18S ribosomal RNA". It matches the Rfam family "Eukaryotic small subunit ribosomal RNA", at positions 592 to 976 of the family's 1831-position model. The record is from RNAcentral.
CAAUAGCGUAUAUUUAAGUUGCUGCAGUUAAAAAGCUCGUAGUUGGAUUUCGGGUGGGAAUGGCCGGUCCGCCGUUUCGGUGUGCACUUGCUACGCCCACCUUGCUGCCGGGGACGUGCUCUUGAGUUCACGCUCGGGACACGGAGUCGGCGAGGUUACCUUGAGUAAAUUAGAGUGUUCAAAGCAGGCCUACGCUCUGAAUACAUUAGCAUGGAAUAACACGAUAGGACUCUGGCCUAUCUUGUUGGUCUGUAGGCCGGAGUAAUGAUUAAGAGGGACAGUCGGGGGCAUUCGUAUUUCAUUGUCAGAGGUGAAAUUCUUGGAUUUAUGAAAGACGAACUACUGCGAAAGCAUUUGCCAAGGAUGUUUUCAUUAA